RNAcentral lists this ribosomal RNA (274 nucleotides) under uncultured bacterium. RNAcentral describes it as "partial 16S ribosomal RNA". It matches the Rfam family "Bacterial small subunit ribosomal RNA", at positions 523 to 796 of the family's 1533-position model. The record is from RNAcentral.
CUACGGAGGGUGCAAGCGUUGUCCGGAAUUAUUGGGUUUAAAGGGGGCGCAGGCGGUGCGUUAAGUCAGUGGAGAAAUCUUCCGGCUCAACCGGGAAACUGCCAUUGAUACUGGCGCACUUGAGUACGGACGAGGUAGGCGGAAUUUAUGGUGUAGCGGUGAAAUGCAUAGAUACCAUAAAGAACACCGAUAGCGAAGGCAGCUUACCAGACCGUAACUGACGCUCAGGCACGAAAGCGUGGGGAGCAAACAGGAUUAGAAACCCUAGUAGUCC